RNAcentral lists this ribosomal RNA (468 nucleotides) under uncultured bacterium. Its description in RNAcentral is "partial 16S ribosomal RNA". It matches the Rfam family "Bacterial small subunit ribosomal RNA", at positions 28 to 507 of the family's 1533-position model. The record is from RNAcentral.
GACGAACGCUGGCGGCGUGCUUAACACAUGCAAGUCGAACGGAAAGGCCCUGCUUUUGUUGGUUGCUCGUGUUGCGAACGGGUGUGUAACACGUGAGUAACCUGCCCUUGACUUUGUGAUAACUUCAGGAAACUGUGGCUAAUACCGGAUAGGAUCUCCUGCUGCAUGGUGGGGGUUGGAAAGUUUCGGCGGUUGGGGAUGGACUCGCGGCUUAUCAGCUUGUUGGUGGGGUAGUGGCUUACCAAGGCUUUGACGGGUAGCCGGCCUGAGAGGGUGACCGGGGACAAUGGGACGGAGAUACGGACCAGAGGCGUACGGGAGGCAGGAGUGGGGAAUAUUGCACAAUGGGCGGAAGCAUGAUGAAGAAAAGCGGGGUGCGGGAUGACGGCCUUCGGGUUGUAAACAGAUUUAGAAUGAGAAGAAGAGAGAGUGACGGUAAUGGGUAAAGAAGCAACGGCUAACUACGUG